AGUGAACGCUGGCGGUAGGCCUAACACAUGCAAGUCGAACGGCAGCACAGUAAAAGCUUGCUCUUACGGGUGGCGAGUGGCGGACGGGUGAGGAAUACAGCGGAAUCUACUUUUUCGUGGGGGAUAACGUAGGGAAACUGACGCUAAUACCGCAUACGACCUACGGGUGAAAGCAGGGGAUCUUCGGACCUUGCGCGAUUGAAUGAGCCGAUGUCGGAUUAGCUAGUUGGCGGGGUAAAGGCCCACCAAGGCGACGAUCCGUAGCUGGUCUGAGAGGAUGAUCAGCCACACUGGAACUGAGACACGGUCCAGACUCCUACGGGAGGCAGCAGUGGGGAAUAUUGGACAAUGGGCGCAAGCCUGAUCCAGCCAUACCGCGUGGGUGAAGAAGGCCUUCGGGUUGUAAAGCCCUUUUGUUGGGAAAGAAAAGCAGCAGGUUAAUACCCCGCUGUUCUGACGGUACCCAAAGAAUAAGCACCGGCUAACUUCGUG
RNAcentral lists this ribosomal RNA (492 nucleotides) under uncultured bacterium. Its description in RNAcentral is "partial 16S ribosomal RNA". It matches the Rfam family "Bacterial small subunit ribosomal RNA", at positions 29 to 507 of the family's 1533-position model. The record is from RNAcentral.